UGAGGAAUAUUGGUCAAUGGGCGGGAGCCUGAACCAGCCAAGCCGCGUGAAGGAAGAAGGCGCCAGGCGUCGUAAACUUCUUUUGUCGGGGAACAAAGGGCGCCACGCGUGGCGUUGUGAGUCGUACCCGAAGAAAAGCAUCGGCUAACUCCGUGCC
This 157-nucleotide ribosomal RNA is filed under the name uncultured bacterium. RNAcentral's name for it is "partial 16S ribosomal RNA". It matches the Rfam family "Bacterial small subunit ribosomal RNA", at positions 355 to 509 of the family's 1533-position model. The record is from RNAcentral.